GUACCUCCGUGAACCCGAUCUGAGAAAUUCAAGUUUCUGCAUCCUUCUAUGUUUGAUAAGGUCAUUUUGAACGGUCGGAUUGAACGUGGCUGGUGUCGUUCACGAUCGAGGCACGUUUAGGUCCCCGCAGUGAACUAGUUCCUAAGUUGACUAGUCAAUUAGGUGAUAGUUCGUCCGGAUGACUUGACUAGUCAAUUAGGUGAUAGUUCGUCCGGAUGACGUACCUCCGUGAACCCGAUCUGAGAAAUUCAAGUUUCUGCAUCCUUCUAUGUUUGAUAAGGUCAUUUUGAACGGUCGGAUUGAACGUGGCUGGUGUCGUUCACGAUCGAGGCACGUUUAGGUCCCCGCAGUGAACUAGUUCCUAAGUUGACUAGUCAAUUAGGUGAUAGUUCGUCCGGAUGACGUACCU
This 409-nucleotide long non-coding RNA is filed under the name Medicago truncatula (barrel medic). Its description in RNAcentral is "lncRNA gene47054". Lineage: Eukaryota; Viridiplantae; Streptophyta; Magnoliopsida; Fabales; Fabaceae. The record is from RNAcentral.